UACGGAGGAUGCAAGCGUUGUCCGGAAUUAUUGGGCGUAAAGAGCUCGUAGGCGGUCUGUCGCGUCUGCUGUGAAAAUCCAGGGCUCAACCCUGGACCUGCAGUGGGUACGGGCAGACUAGAGUGCGGUAGGGGAGAUCGGAAUUCCUGGUGUAGCGGUGAAAUGCGCAGAUAUCAGGAGGAACACCGAUGGCGAAGGCAGGUCUCUGGGCUGACACUGACGCUCAUGCACGAAAGCGUGGGGAGCAAACAGG
This 253-nucleotide ribosomal RNA is filed under the name uncultured bacterium. RNAcentral describes it as "partial 16S ribosomal RNA". It matches the Rfam family "Bacterial small subunit ribosomal RNA", at positions 524 to 776 of the family's 1533-position model. The record is from RNAcentral.